CAAAGGCUUCGGCCGGUAAAGGAUGGGGAUGCGUCUGAUUAGCUUGCCGGCGGGGUAACGGCCCACCGGGGCGACGAUCAGUAGGGGUUCUGAGAGGAAGGUCCCCCACAUUGGAAAUGAGACACGGUCCAAACUCCUACGGGAGGCAGCAGUGAGGAAUAUUGGUCAAUGGGCGCGAGCCUGAACCAGCCAAGUAGCGUGCAGGACGACGGCCCUAUGGGUUGUAAACUGCUUUUAUACGGGGAUAAAGUAUGCCACGUGUGGUUUAUUGCAGGUACCGUAUGAAUAAGGACCGGCUAAUUCCGUGCCAGCAGCCGCGGUAAUACGGAAGGUCCGGGCGUUAUCCGGAUUUAUUGGGUUUAAAGGGAGCGUAGGCCGGGUUUUAAGCGUGCCGUGAAAUGUCGGGGCUCAACCUUGACACUGCGGCGCGAACUGGAGUCCUUGAGUGCGCGGAACGUAUGCGGAAUUCGUGGUGUAGCGGUGAAAUGCUUAGAUAUCACGAAGAACCCCGAUUGCGAAGGCAGCAUACGGCAGCGCUACUGACGCUGAAGCUCGAAGGCGCGGGUAUCGAACAGGAUUAGAUACCCUGGUAGUCCGCGC
RNAcentral lists this ribosomal RNA (600 nucleotides) under uncultured bacterium. RNAcentral describes it as "bacterial SSU rRNA". It matches the Rfam family "Bacterial small subunit ribosomal RNA", at positions 202 to 800 of the family's 1533-position model. The record is from RNAcentral.